UAGGGAAUCUUCGGCAAUGGGGGAAACCCUGACCGAGCAACGCCGCGUGAGUGAAGAAGGAUUUCGGUUCGUAAAACUCUAUUGUUAGAGAAGAACAGCGCAUAGAGUAACUGUUAUGCGUGUGACGGUAUCUAACCAGAAAGCCACGGCUAACUACGUGCCAGCAGCCGCGGUAAUACGUAGGUGGCAAGCGUUGUCCGGAUUUAUUGGGCGUAAAGCGAGCGCAGGCGGUCAAUUAAGUCUGAUGUGAAAGCCCCCGGCUCAACCGGGGAGGGUCAUUGGAAACUGGUUGACUUGAGUGCAGAAGAGGAGAGUGGAAUUCCAUGUGUAGCGGUGAAAUGCGUAGAUAUAUGGAGGAACACCAGUGGCGAAGGCGACUCUCUGGUCUGUAACUGACGCUGAGGUUCGAAAGCGUGGGUAGCAAACAGG
RNAcentral lists this ribosomal RNA (429 nucleotides) under Bacteroidota bacterium. Its description in RNAcentral is "Bacteroidetes bacterium partial 16S ribosomal RNA". It matches the Rfam family "Bacterial small subunit ribosomal RNA", at positions 355 to 776 of the family's 1533-position model. The record is from RNAcentral. Lineage: Bacteria; Pseudomonadati; Bacteroidota.